This 1384-nucleotide long non-coding RNA is filed under the name Equus asinus (donkey). RNAcentral's name for it is "lncRNA (ENSEASG00005028045.1)". The record is from RNAcentral. Lineage: Eukaryota; Metazoa; Chordata; Mammalia; Perissodactyla; Equidae.
CUCCAAGUUCCUACGGGAUGAGUCCACGGUAGUACAAGGCGCUGAGUCACCUGGAGAGGAGGGGGUGUGUCCACACAGCCUCCAGUCCAGGGACAACACCCCCUCACUGGCCAUCCCCACACCUCCUCCUCCUAAAUGGAGAGACUAGGCCCCGGAUGCCCCCAUGUUGGGUGGGAGGGAGAGGCAGGAGAGGGAACCCAGGAGGCCUCAUGCCCCAGGACCCACCCAUAUGCUCGUUCUCUCUGGAAACUUCCAUCGUGCCAUAUGACCACAGGCGUGUGCUGUAAUACCAAUUAUCACCCCUGUUAAAUGUAGACUGCGGGCUGGAUCCUUUCUGUUAAUUCUCUCAGCAAUCCUAUAAAGUAGGUGCUAUUAUGUCUCCCAUUAUGCAGAUGAAGAAUUAUCCCAGAGAGGUUAAGUAAUUUGCCCCAGGUCACAUAGCCACCAAGCUGAGCAGGGAUUCGGACCAGUGCUCUCCCCCUAGGGUUUCUCUUUGGUCUUCUGACUCUCCAUCUCUCCUGUCUCCACCUUCUUCUUGUUCUUUCUCUAGGUCCCUGCUCUAUUUUUUCUGUCUGCCCAUUUUUCCCUUUGGGCCUUAUCGUUUCCAGGAGCCUCUGUGCCUCAGCCUGUGUUUUCGUGUCUGCCGGCGUCUGUCUGUUUUGAUAUUCAUGUCUCUAUAUCUCUGUCUGUCUUUCUCCUUCCUUGUCUUCUCGUCCUCCUCCUGCUGGCUUCUCCCAGACAGGUUAUGUGCCAGGAGUGGAGCCAACACCCCCCCACCCCGCCAGAGCCCCACACGCACCUGGGGGCCUCUUUCUCAAGGUUUCCAAGGCUAGUCAGAGGAGAGACCAGGGAGCACAGCAGUGGAGGCCCUGCCUGGCCUCGCCCCCCCCCACCCCCCCACCCCCCCUGCAGCGUGGGGUUGUGGGGGAGGCAGACAGCAGCCCAGAGACCUCUAUCUCUAUCCAGGUUUCCGAUUGGUGGAUGGGGCUGCCUGAAGAGAGAGUUUCCUCUCCUGGGAAAGUCUGAUAGAGAAUGGCGGGGGGAGUGGAAAAACAGAUGCCAACCCUCGGCUUCACCUCCCAGUGAAGAGAGGAAGACAGAGAAGCAAGCCUGGCCGGCCAGCCCAGUUCCUAGGCAGCAGGGAGGGUAGCCCCAACUGCAGUGGCAAGUAUGAUGGGUAGACACUGGGAGACCUCAGAAGUGGAAGAAGCAGCAGCAGGGGACAGAUGACAGGAGGCAGGAGAGCUGCCCUCACAGCCUGGCUCACAUGUGCACACACACAGCCCUUUAGGUGUAGCGCUUCGUUUAAUCCUUAACUCGAGAUUGGUUCCAUUCACGGAAUGAGAUGGAUGUCUCGCGUGGGUACAAGCAGGAUUUGAACCCA